Molecule: ribosomal RNA, 429 nt
Filed under: Bacteroidota bacterium
Lineage: Bacteria; Pseudomonadati; Bacteroidota
Description: Bacteroidetes bacterium partial 16S ribosomal RNA
Rfam family: Bacterial small subunit ribosomal RNA
Source: RNAcentral
UAGGGAAUCUUCCGCAAUGGACGCAAGUCUGACGGAGCAACGCCGCGUGAGUGAAGAAGGAUUUCGGUUCGUAAAACUCUGUUGUUAGAGAAGAACAGCGCAUAGAGUAACUGUUAUGCGUGUGACGGUAUCUAACCAGAAAGCCACGGCUAACUACGUGCCAGCAGCCGCGGUAAUACGUAGGUGGCAAGCGUUGUCCGGAUUUAUUGGGCGUAAAGCGAGCGCAGGCGGUCAAUUAAGUCUGAUGUGAAAGCCCCCGGCUCAACCGGGGAGGGUCAUUGGAAACUGGUUGACUUGAGUGCAGAAGAGGGGAGUGGAAUUCCAUGUGUAGCGGUGAAAUGCGUAGAUAGAUGGAGGAAAACCAGUGGGGAAGGCGACUCUCUGGUCUGUAACUGACGCUGAGGCUCGAAAGCGUGGGUAGCAAACAGG